Molecule: ribosomal RNA, 463 nt
Filed under: Vreelandella stevensii
Lineage: Bacteria; Pseudomonadati; Pseudomonadota; Gammaproteobacteria; Oceanospirillales; Halomonadaceae
Description: partial 16S ribosomal RNA
Rfam family: Bacterial small subunit ribosomal RNA
Source: RNAcentral
CCUGGGAGGCUGCAGUGGGGAAUAUUGGACAAUGGGCGAAAGCCUGAUCCAGCCAUGCCGCGUGUGUGAAGAAGGCCUUCGGGUUGUAAAGCACUUUCAGUGGGGAAGAAAGCCUUGGGGCUAAUACCCUCGAGGAAGGACAUCACCCACAGAAGAAGCACCGGCUAACUCCGUGCCAGCAGCCGCGGUAAUACGGAGGGUGCGAGCGUUAAUCGGAAUUACUGGGCGUAAAGCGCGCGUAGGCGGUCUGAUAAGCCGGUUGUGAAAGCCCCGGGCUCAACCUGGGAACGGCAUCCGGAACUGUCAGGCUAGAGUGCAGGAGAGGAAGGUAGAAUUCCCGGUGUAGCAGUGAAAUGCGUAGAGAUCGGGAGGAAUACCAGUGGCGAAGGCGGCCUUCUGGACUGACACUGACGCUGAGGUGCGAAAGCGUGGGUAGCAAACUGGAUUAGAUACCCUUGUAGUC